Molecule: ribosomal RNA, 257 nt
Filed under: uncultured bacterium
Lineage: Bacteria
Description: partial 16S ribosomal RNA
Rfam family: Bacterial small subunit ribosomal RNA
Source: RNAcentral
CGGAGGGUGCGAGCGUUAAUCGGAAUGACUGGGCGUAAAGGGCAUGUAGGCGGAUAAUUAAGUUAGGUGUGAAAGCCCUGGGCUCAACCUAGGAAUUGCACUUAAAACUAGGUUAACUAGAGUAUUGUAGAGGAAGGUAGAAUUCCACGUGUAGCGGUGAAAUGCGUAGAGAUGUGGAGGAAUACCGGUGGCGAAGGCGGCCUUCUGGACAGAUACUGACGCUGAGAUGCGAAAGCGUGGGGGAGACAAACAGGAUU